CAGUGGAAGACUUCGGAGGAUCAAGGUUAGUCUGGGAAGACUUUGGAGGAUCAAGGUUAGUCUCUAUACGGGUUCUCCUCUCAUUGGCCCUGAAUCCAUUAGUCUGAUUUUCUCUGAAGAGUUGUGAAGUUGUUUCACGGGCAAACUUAGUAACAAGAGAAAACUUCUCCAAAACCUGAAUAGAGAGGUCCCGAGUAGGAUCGUUAACUUUAUGUCUUGGUCUCCUAUGGAACUGAGGAACACUUACACUUCCAUUAUUGACACCACUGUCAUUCCUCUCUUGGUUCUCAUUCAAAGUGGACUCAUCAGCUGACAUAUCUGAAGGUCCACGUGCAAGAGGAACAGCCCUGGGCAGUUCCAAGGAAGACAAAGUUUUCUGGAAUGUACUCUGAAAAUCAUUUACUAGG
This 407-nucleotide long non-coding RNA is filed under the name Medicago truncatula (barrel medic). RNAcentral's name for it is "lncRNA gene26745". Lineage: Eukaryota; Viridiplantae; Streptophyta; Magnoliopsida; Fabales; Fabaceae. The record is from RNAcentral.